Molecule: ribosomal RNA, 304 nt
Filed under: uncultured bacterium
Lineage: Bacteria
Description: partial 16S ribosomal RNA
Rfam family: Bacterial small subunit ribosomal RNA
Source: RNAcentral
CAGCAGUCGCCACGGUAAUACGUAGGUCCCGAGCGUUGUCCGGAUUUAUUGGGCGUAAAGGGAGCGCAGGCGGUUUAGUAAGUCUGAAGUUAAAGGCAUUGGCUCAACCAAUGUAUGCUUUGGAAACUGUUAGACUUGAGUGCAGAAGGGGAGAGUGGAAUUCCAUGUGUAGCGGUGAAAUGCGUAGAUAUAUGGGGGAAUACCGGUGGCGAAAGCGGCUCUCUGGUCUGUCACUGACGCUGAGGCUCGAAAGCGUGGGUAGCGAACAGGAUUAGAUACCCCUGUAGUCCCUGUCUCUUAUACA